AGAUUGAACGCUGGCGGAAUGCUUUACACAUGCAAGUCGAACGGCAGCACGGGGGCAACCCUGGUGGCGAGUGGCGAACGGGUGAGUAAUGUAUCGGAACGUGCCCAGUCGUGGGGGAUAACUAUCCGAAAGGAUAGCUAAUACCGCAUACGACCUGAGGGUGAAAGCGGGGGACCCCAAGGGUAACCGAGGGCCUCGCGCGAUUGGAGCGGCCGAUAUCGGAUUAGCUAGUUGGUGGGGUAAAGCUCACCAAGGCGACGAUCCGUAGCGGGUCUGAGAGGACGACCCGCCACACUGGAACUGAGACACGGUCCAGACUCCUACGGGAGGCAGCAGUGGGAAUUUGGACAAGUGGGGGCAACCCUGAUCCAGCCAUUCCGCGUGAGUGAGGAAGGCCUUCGGGUGUAAGUCUCUUUCAGCGGAACGAAGGUCGAGUACUUAAUACGGUCGCGUAAGUGUACGGUACCGU
Molecule: ribosomal RNA, 469 nt
Filed under: uncultured soil bacterium
Lineage: Bacteria
Description: bacterial SSU rRNA
Rfam family: Bacterial small subunit ribosomal RNA
Source: RNAcentral